GCUGGCGGCAUGCCUAACACAUGCAAGUCGAACGAGAUCUUCGGAUCUAGUGGCGCACGGGUGAGUAACGCGUGGGAACCUACCUUUUAGUACGGGACAACGUUUGGAAACGAACGCUAAUACCGUAUACGCCCUCCGGGGGAAAGGUCAGCCGCUAAAAGAGGGGCCCGCGUCUGAUUAGCUUGUUGGUAAGGUAAUGGCUUACCAAGGCUACGAUCAGUAGCUGGUCUGAGAGGAUGAUCAGCCACACUGGGACUGAGACACGGCCCAGACUCCUACGGGAGGCAGCAGUGGGGAAUAUUGGACAAUGGAGGCAACUCUGAUCCAGCAAUGCCGCGUGUGUGAUGAAGGCCCUAGGGUUGUAAAGCACUUUCAACGGUGAAGAUGAUGACGGUAGCCGUAGAAGAAGCCCCGGCUAACUUCGUGCCAGCAGCCGCGGUAAUACGAAGGGGGCGAGCGUUAUUCGGAAUUAUUGGGCGUAAAGGGCUCGCAGGCUGCUUGAACAGUUAGACGUGAAAUCCCCGGGCUUAACCUGGGAACUGCGUUUAAUACUAGCAAGCUAGAGAAAUAGAGAGGAAAGUGGAACUCCCAGUGUAGAGGUGAAAUUCGUAGAUAUUGGGAAGAACACCAGUGGCGAAAGCGACU
This 645-nucleotide ribosomal RNA is filed under the name uncultured Alphaproteobacteria bacterium. RNAcentral describes it as "bacterial SSU rRNA". It matches the Rfam family "Bacterial small subunit ribosomal RNA", at positions 35 to 726 of the family's 1533-position model. The record is from RNAcentral. Lineage: Bacteria; Pseudomonadati; Pseudomonadota; Alphaproteobacteria.